This 597-nucleotide long non-coding RNA is filed under the name Nicotiana benthamiana. Its description in RNAcentral is "long non-coding RNA (NBEN_LNC024394)". The record is from RNAcentral. Lineage: Eukaryota; Viridiplantae; Streptophyta; Magnoliopsida; Solanales; Solanaceae.
AAGGUCUGGGGACUUGAGUUUCCAAAACAAACCCUCAAAUGAGACCAAAGGUUUUUUUCCCCAUGAUUUCCAAGUAAAAAAAAAACAACGACACAAGGAAUUUCAAAUAACUUGAACUUGUCACUAAGAAGAUGAAGGAACUGAAACAGGUACAUCAACAAAAACAGGCUCAGCUUGGCUUACAGCAGCGGGUUCAACUUGGCUUGAAUGAGUGGGGAUACUGGGUCAAUUUCAACAUUUUCAAAAGCUUCAUCCACGAGAGGAGAAAGAACUUGGUCCCAUUGAGUAUUUUCAAUAGUCUCUUUAAUCUUGGCUAACUCAGAUUCCAAGUCAAAAUUCUCCCAGCUAGCUUCAACAAGGGUAUCAUGGCGAGAAUUUAGGAACGCCUAACUCGCUUCAAUGGAAAAUUUAUCUUCAAGAAUCUCGCAGUCUCUUUCCCAGUCAGUAAUUUCAUUCUUAAGUUCUCAUUUUCAGCCAAGGCAGAUCUGUAAGAAGCUUGAAGAGAGGCAUGAGAACUUUCUAAGGCACAAACCUUUUAGAAGAAGCUUGGAGGUCUUCUUGUGCUUGAGUCAAAUUCUGCACAAGCUCACUAGCAUA